AACGAACGCUGGCGGCAUGCCUAACACAUGCAAGUCGAACGAGACCUUCGGGUCUAGUGGCGCACGGGUGCGUAACGCGUGGGAACCUGCCCUUAGGUUCGGAAUAACUCCCCGAAAGGGGUGCUAGUACCGGAUAAUGUCUUCGGACCAAAGAUUUAUCGCCUUUGGAUGGGCCCGCGUUGGAUUAGCUAGUUGGUAGGGUAAAAGCCUACCAAGGCGACGAUCCAUAGCUGGUCUGAGAGGAUGAUCAGCCACACUGGGACUGAGACACGGCCCAGACUCCUACGGGAGGCAGCAAGGGGGAAUAUUGGAAAAUGGGCGGAAGGCUGAUCCAGCAAAGCCGCGUGAGUGAUGAAGGCCUUAGGGUUGUAAAGCUCUUUUACCCGGGAUGGUAAUGACAGUACCGGGAGAAUAAGCUCCGGCUAACUCCGUG
This 433-nucleotide ribosomal RNA is filed under the name uncultured bacterium. Its description in RNAcentral is "partial 16S ribosomal RNA". It matches the Rfam family "Bacterial small subunit ribosomal RNA", at positions 29 to 507 of the family's 1533-position model. The record is from RNAcentral.